GCUAUACUAUUACAGAAAGAUAGAAAUGGACUCCUCGGUCUGCAGACACGACAGAUAUACCUCGAAGUGUCUACAGAAUUGCCUCGCCUCACAGAUGAUAAGACUGAGUGGAAGUACCUAGAUCUGCACCUGAAAAACAUGCGCAGAAAGGGCAUGAGUACACCACAGCGGUACUCAGUAAGUGCCAAGCCUAACAUCGGUCGGGUAGUGACGAGGAAAGUCAGGGUCCUACUGAGGUUAAAUAAAAUACAAGGUAUAACAGUGUAGAACAAGACAAUAUAAUUAAGUGCAACAGUAAAAGUAACACAGAAUAGAAAGAACAACAAUAACUACUACAGAGGCAAAGUAAACACAGAAAGAAAUACAGCUCAAUACAGAAAUAACAACCGGGAUCUCCCAGGAUACCGUCCUAUAGUCCAAAAUAUAAAUAUCUAGUUGAUCUCCUGGGAUACCGUCCCGUAGUCCAACUCAUAAUGCAAGGGGAUCUCCCGGAAUACCGAUCCGUAGUCCCAAAGGUAAAUACUCAGUACAGGGGGAAUCUACCGGGUGCAGUCCCAUAGUUCCAAUCUAAAUGUGCAAGGGGAUCUCCCAGAAUACCGUUCCAUAGUCCCAAAAUAAACAUACAGGGGGAUCUCCCGGGAUACCGUCCCGUAGUCCCAAAGUAAACACACAACAACAACACGAAGAAUACACAAUUCAAUUUAAAUCCCAUACCAAGGUAAAACAGGUAUUUCUAGCCUAGCAUGUUGCACAUAAUCCAAAUAAGGCAGUUUGAGCAAGUAAAGCAAUUAAGGCAAUUAGACAUGCUUCCAUAAGAUAGCAACAAGCUUAAAUUGCAAGUGUUAUAAACAGGAGAAGAAACACAAUUAGAAUUACUUAAAGAAAACCGAGUUUUUCAACAAUUAGCACAAGUACGCACUCGUCACCUCACGUACAAGGCAUUUCAAAUAUCAAUAAUAUCAAAUCCUAGGGGAAAUUUCCUCCACACAAGUUUAGCCAAGCCACUUACCUCGAACCGGCUCAAAAAUCAACCUGAAACCACGUUCUUGCCACGAGUACUCAACUCCAAAUGGUCCAAAUCUCUUCAAUUCAAUUGCAUAAUGUAAAUAACACUUCAAGUAACUAAUUCUACAAAUAAAUUCUAAGUUAAUACGGGAAAUUAGGUAAAAUGACCAAAACGCCCCUCGAGCCCACAUCUCGAAAUCGGGUAAAAUUUAAAUUUUCAGAAUCCUCAUACUCUCACGAGUUUAACCAUACCAAAAUUAUCCAAAUCCAAUGGUAAAUUCCCAAUCAAAACUCGAAAUCUAGGUCUAAGAACUUUCUUCAAAAAAUUUCCCAAUUUUCAUCUCCAAUCCGAAAUUAAAUGACAAACUAAGAUUAGAUUAUAGGGAUACAACUAGAAAGGGAUUAUGAAUCGUUACCCACUGAUUUCUUCUUAAAAAUCCUCCCAAAAUCGCCAUCUCCCGAGCUCCAAAUCAAUUUCUAACUUUUUGAAACUAAACCCUUGAAAUUUUGAUUUUUUUCUGCCCAGCAAAUCCGCAUCUGCGGUACCGUUUCUGCAGUCAAGGGGACCGCUCCAGCGAAUUCCACUUAAAACCUCUUCACCUUACCUUUGACCCACAAUCCGCAUCUGCGGUCACACAUGUGCGGUAUAUCUUCCGCUUCUGCGGUUCCUGGCCUUUCCUCAUCUGGCCGCUUCUGCGACUUGACUCCGAAUCUGCGGGAGUCGCACCUGCGGUCUCUCAACCGCAGAUAUGGUUAUGACAGCAGUCAUAGCUUCAGCUGCAACUCCAAAUUCCAAAUCCUUCCGUCAACCAUCCAAAAUCAUUCUAAGGCCCCCGGGACCUCAACCUAAAACAACAUCGAAACAUCUAAUCAACCACGGAUUCAAGCCUAAGAACUCCAAAACUCUCAAUUUACGCUUUCGAUCAAAAAGUCUAUCAAACCUCGUCCGAAUGACCUGAAAUUUUGCAAGCACGUCACAUUCAAUACUACGGAGCUACUCCAACUUUCGAAAUCCCAUUUCGGCCCCGAUAUCAAAAUCUCACUGUCAAAUCGGAAACUUCAAGCCUAAAUAAGCUACGGUCCUCCAAAACACAAUCUGAAUACACCCCUAAGCCCGAAAUCACUCAACGGAGCUAAUGGAACCAAUGGAAUUCCAUUCCAGGGUUGUCUUCACACUGCUCCAACUACGAUUCAAUUUCUAAAACUUAAACUCUCAUUUAGGGACUAAAUGUCCCAAAACUCUCCUAAACUCAGAACCAACAUCCCGGCAAAUCAAAAUAGCAGAAACAAACACAGGGAAAGCAGUUAAUAGGGGAUCAGAGCGUUUAUUCUUAAAAUGGCUGGCCGGGCCAUUACACGGGUGUACUCUUCUUUCUCUGAUGGUGACAGGUGAAUGCUUAUGUGAGUUUCUUUGACUGUUUCAGAAUCUCAAAAAUUGACUACCUCGGUUUUGUCCAAAUUAGACUUAGGCUUGUUCUCAAAAUUUUCCACUUCUCUCACAAUUUCCUCAAGUAUUAUAUCUUCUUCUUCUAUUUCCUCUGAAUCACUAUCCUUAUGUGGCAUUGUCUCAUUACAUGUCACGGUUGUUGGUUCAUCAGGAUAAGUAAUAAUAAUGUUGUAGAGAAAUGUAAAGGAUAAUAAUGAAUACUAAAAUAGCAAUGCAUUAAAUAAAUCUUGAAAACAAGUACGGCUCGAUGACUCGAAUAAUUAUUUCAAAACAAAAUAUGUCCAAAACAAAAUACUGAAAAUGUCUUAAAUUCUUAAAAUUGCUUUUAAAAAUAUAUCAUGCUAAUUACCAGGCUACCCAGGAACUCGAGGGGCCCGGGACGGUGCAACAGUCCAGUUCUUGAGAACAACUCCUUUUCCCACGGUCUGAAUUGUAAGGUCUUCCUCCUCCUCAACUACUGCAUUACAAUCCAUGUCUUCGUCGUCCAGAAAUAGAUUCCUCAGGCCAGCUAAAGCCUCAUCUUCUUCAGAUCCCCAUAUUACGUCAGUCUAUUGAAAUGUCUGGUGCAGAUGCGGUAUUGGCUGUUCAAUAGGGUAAUAAGGACCANNNNNNNNNNNNNNNNNNNNNNNNNACACUUUAGCUGUAUCAGUUUGGUAAUCCCUUGGAGAUUCUUACCGAGAACCUUGCCGGGUUCAUACCCUGCCUAUAACAAUAUGCUUUCAAUCUUAUUACUUUACCAUUUGUCUUUCUCAAUUGCAUUGAUGUGCUCGAUGCGAUGGUACGUUUCUCUGCCCAACUUCCUUCUAUUCUCGACAACCGGAAUAGUCUGAUUGGUAUAAAUGGGAUUGCUUCCAUCCUCAUAGAUGAUUAGUUCCUGAUGAUUUCAUUCAAACUUUACGGCCUGGUGUAGAGUGGAGGCUACAGCCCCAGCAGUAUGUAUCCAAGGUCGUCCCAACAAUAGAUUAUAUGUGGCAGAUAUGUCCAAUACUUGAAAUUCAAUAUCAAACCAAGUCGGGCCCAUAUGUAAACAUAGGUUGAUUUCCCCAAUCGUGGCCCUUUGGGACCCAUCGAAUGCUUUCACGUUCAUAGUUCCUACUCGUAUCUCAUGCAAACAUUUACCCAACCUCUUCAAAGUGGUCAAUGGACAAAUGUUGAGACUCGAACCCCCAUCUAUCAGGACCUUGGCGAUGAGUUUAUCCUCAAAAUGCACUGUGAUAUGUAGUGCCCUGUUGUGAGUCAGUCCUUCUGGAGGUAGCUUGUCUUCGUGAAAAGUGAUCUUGUGGCUUUCCAACACUUAUCCUACCAUGUUAGCCAUUUCUCCAUUAGUGAUGUUGUUUUGUACAUAGGCUUCAUUCAACACUUUCAUCAAUGCAUUUCUAUGCGCCUCAGAAUUCUGUAGUAGUGAUAGAAUGGAUAUCUAAGUAGGGUUUUGUUCAGAUUAUCAACCAUAGAAUACUCUCUUGCUUGCACCUUUCUCCAAAGAUCAUCCGGGCCAGUUUCAAUGAUAGGAUGCUUAGGAGCGGCUUCUUUACUUGUUCCUCCCAAAUGCUCGGGCAUGUAAACCUUAUCGGUCCUGGUUAUACCUUGUGCUACACCGGUUUCUUCCAUUUUCCCCUUUCCUUUCCUUCUCGCCUCUGCAGCAUAGUCCCAAGGUAUGGCAUUGGAAUUAAAGGACGGUGUGGGUGCUACUGUCACGGUGAAGGGUGUGGUCACUUCCACCUCAAACGGAGUUGGCGUAGCUGAUGGUGUUGUUACUUCAACCUUGCGGUUACUUCAACCUCUAUUGGUGACUGAAUCUGCACCACAAUAGGUGUAAGAAUGACUGAAGGUAUUUUAGGUUCAUGCCCUUCACGAAUGAGCCUGAUUGAUAUUUUGGAUCCCAUUCUUUAUCAGUUUCGAUCACAUUUACCCCCGCCCCUGUGAUCCGGGAGGGGAUUGUUGCAGACAUUAGGUGUAGCCUCUUUUGCUUGUAUAACCUUGGUGUCAAUCAGCAUCUGGAUCUUAUCCUUCAAAGUGCAACAUUCAUCGAUAGUAUGACCCUUCAUACCUGAGUGGUAGGCAUAUGUCUUGUUUGUAUUAACCCACUGGGAGGGAUUUUCCAUAGCAACGGUGGGAAUAAGAGUGACAUAACUGGCAGCCUUCAGUCUCUCAUACAACUGAUCGAUGGGUUCAGCAAUAGGAGUGAAUUGUUUGGGCGGUCUACGGUCAAAAUUUGGUUUGGGUUUUUGGUAGUUUUGGCAGGCUAGUAGUGAGUGGUAGUAUGUUGGCUAAGUGUUAUAAGUAUGGUAAGUGGCGGCGGGUUGUUGGUAUCUGGAGGUGAAGGCUGAUAUGUGGGUGGUGGUGUUUGGUAUGUGAGAGGAGACUUCGGACCUUGGGCUACCAUCACUGCCCCUACUUCCUUCUUUUUAGAAAUACCGCCCGACGGCAAGGCUUUGUUUGUAGCCUGUAGUGCCUCAAAAUUUGUUAUCAUUCUGCUUUUAGUUCCCUCUUCUAUUCUUUCUCCCAAUUUGAUGAUGUCAGAAAAUUUAUGGUUUUCAAUAACCAUCAACCUCUCAUAAUAUUGCGGAUCCUAAGCUCGGACAAAGAACUUAUUCAUUUAUUCUUCUUCCAGUGCUUGCCUUGCUUUCGCAGCUUCUGAUCUCCAUCGAGUAGCAUAAUAACGUCCAAAUCCACUACUAAAAAGUAAAUGGACACGGUCGCAUGCAAUAUAAUUUACCCAACUAUGAGUCGGGGUCGAAUCCACAGAGAACAAUAUGUAGGCGAUCAGGAAUGUAAGAGAAUUAUCACUUACCGCGCAAUGCCAAACACUUAGAUUUUGGUUUAUAAAAUGUUUAUAUCUAAAUACCGAAAUGUAAAGUAACCUAGAAAGCAAGUAAAAUGAUUAAUGGCUACAAGUAUGGAUGCAUCGGAAAUUACACUCAAGUAAAGAUCCAAUGUAUUUCACGAUUUUAUAAAUAUGAGCGAGUUUAUGUUAAUUAGCCACGGAUUCUGUGCCAGAGUACUCCGACCAUCUAAAGUCUCAACAUUCUCUGCAUGCGUAGCAUUGUCUUUCCUUAUACUACUCAUAUCAUCCAUUCUGGCUUUUCCCUUGCUUUUAGGAUCAGUUGGAGGAGGAGGUGGUGGAGGACCUUUAGAUCUGGUAUGAUAUGCUGAUGAUGCCAGUAUGCGCGAACUAACCUUAGGGGAUGAGAAUAAGCAAUCAAAGAAAAGAAGAAAACAAAAGGUAAACGAGGCAGUAAGGGGUAUUAAAGGAUGUUUGCGGUAUUUAAACACAUAUUGCAAAGUUAUAAAUUCGCGUCCUAGUUUGGGGACCUCAUUGUGCCCGAGGUAGGCCUAAGUGACAUAUAGAUUUGGAGAAAAUCAAUGCCAAUAACUACGUCAUUUUAUUAAUAUGAUAAAUGAACCAAAUCUCUACUAAAACGAAAGUAAUUAUAAAGGGUCACUAAUGACAUUUGCCUUAUUACAACCAAAGUCAAAAACGAGUCUGGAAAGCAAGUGAAACAUCAUUCCUAAUCUAUUUGGUCCCAAAGGGACCUUCUCCAUGCUUGGCCUUCUUUGCUCCAUCGAUCAGAUUCCCCAGGUCGCGCAUGUCCAGUAGCAGAUACGCCCUUGCUAGAUACCCUCCUUCGUUGCCCUUUGCAUUCUGACAGUCCGAGAUCCUUUUCCUUAUCUUUCCCUCAACCUCUGCUCCAAAUAUUCCAGCCUCUCUGUUGAUUUAGUAGCAAUUUCUUUCCACUCGUUGAUUGUUUCCAUGUCCACUUUAUGUUGUUCCAAAUUCCUGGCUUCAGACUCGAAAACCCUUUUGCGCAACCUCCUAUAUUUGACUUGUGCUUUAGCAGUGUCGUCUACAACCCUAUUCUUUAGAUUAGUCCAUGGCCUGACAUCCCCCGCUAUAUCAUCUACAGACCAUGAUAGAUAGAAAUACAUAUGCCGGCGUGAUACCUAUCUGGCUCGAUGGUAUCUUUCUCCCCAAUGAUAUUUUGAUGCCACUUAUGUUGUGCCUCGAACUUGAAUGGAAUGGCGUUCCCCUGGAAGUACGCGUUGUACUGAACUAUUUUAGAAACUCGUGGUAUAACCUGUUUUCUCCCAGUUUGUCUCAUAACCCUGAUAGGAGCAUAAGGAUAGAUCCCCCUCAAUCCGAUUAGCACUAUAUGGGGAGUAUUUCUCGACCUGAUGAUGAAUUCACUGCUAGGGAACCACUCGAACAUCUAAUGUACCUUGUCAUCAGUCAGAUUGCUGAAGAAAUGUACCCAGCUCACAGCGUUUUCUGGUUGCACAAACCUAUUUGGGAUAAAAGUCAUUCUCUUCGGAUGGUGAUAGGCUAUGUGGUCAUUCCAAGGUCGUCGCAGAAGUUCUUGACGGUAUUCCCCUCUCUGAAGGUGUUCCAACAACCAUACUUGCAGCAACAGAUUGCAACCCUCGAAAUGCCUAUACCCCUUUUUGCAAUGGUCUAAAGCCCGAUACAUCUCAGUCAAAAUUAUAGGGACAAUAGUGUAAGUUCGCCCCUCAAUCCCCUCCAUUAAGGUCUUAGUGACUAUAGCUAGGCGAGUGUGGAUCCUUUCUCCCUGUAUUGGAAAUACCAACAUCCUAGAAAUCAGACAAUAAAUACAAAAACUCGGUGGUGAGCCCAACCCAAAUAAGUGAUGGAAAACUCAUCAUGGUAAAGGCGAUAUGACUUGUUGUGCCCAUAACGCUCAUAAAGGAAAUCGAAUGGCAUGUAAGACUUCUUCAGUCAGACUAACUCAUCAUUUUUCCUAAAACCCAUCAUUUUCAAGAAACCUCGAGAAGUGUGGUUUUUCAGUACCAACAAACUAGGGCUAUCCCAUGGGAGUCCAGCGAACCUCCUAUUUCUUCUAAAAUGGGAGUCAUUUUCAUGUUGACAAAAUGGAAGACGACUCUCUUCUCAUCCCAAAACAUGGUGGCGGCCUCAAUUAAUGUAUUGUUUGGCUGAAUGUCUAACAAGGAGGGUAAAUUUCUGAGGACUCUUUUCACAUGAUUUUUGUCACUUGGUGAGAGAUUUUCCCACCAAUCUAGCAGUAAAGGUGGGAUAUUUUGAACCAUGUCGAACCAGGGGACUUCGUCCCUCAUUUCUGCAAAACAAAUAGAGAUAGCCAUUUACCCCUCCGGAUUUGGCUAUUUACACGUUAAUGAUCAAUAUAUUGCCAUGUUUUGUCCAAAUAAUGCACAUAUCGUGAUUGUGCCCAUUGGGAUUAUGGAAAUUCCGGCAAACUUUGGACAAGGCUUGUCUUAGCGAGUUACUACACGGAUAGCGUUCUAACCCAUACUAGAUUUGGACAUGAUGCAUGCACAGUUAAUAUUAGAAUGAAUGUUUCUAGAAGAGUCUAGACCGAUACCCUCAAGUGUACAACUUGAGAGGGAAAGGCAUGGAACCGUCGACUGCACCGCUGAUCGACAAGUUUUACCGCAAAUAAGCCUUUCCAAAUUUAAAGGGUAAUUUAGGAAGAGCGCGGACACUCAUCAAGCGCCGCUAUGGUAUUAAUUACGCACGAGUGGAAUAUGAUGUGGAGCAUGCUUUAUGCAAAGAUAAAACAAUACGUUGUCAAAUAUUUUGCAUGAUGAAAAUAGUAAAUGCAGUAUUGAAUAAAACAUAAAGACAUAAAAAGAAGGAAAAAUAAGGAAGAAGUUAGUUCAUGCAAUGUGGAAAUUGUAAUAAAGUAAACAAGGAAGUGAGUUUGGGGAGAGACAUGAUGUAGCAAUUCUAAAAAAUGCCUAAAGAAAAAUGCAUGUUAUGACCAAAUUGAGUAGAGAUUUGCAUAUUAAUGCGAAUUCAAAUAAAGGGAAAACAGGAAAAAAGGUUUACAGGUAGCAAUAAAGGGGAAACGGGAGCGAGAUAUUCAUGUAACAACAAAAAUAAUAAAAGACACACUUAUCAGAGAAGACUAAUUCAUAUAGACCAAGUUUGCUAUGGUAAGAGCCAAAAAAUAUCCCCAGUAGAGUCGUCAUGCUGUCGCGCCCCUUUUUCUCGCGAAAUCAAGUUUCGACACGUGACAACUCUUUUAAAGAAGGUGUUAAAAGAGAAGAGUCGCCCCAUAACGGGUUUGAGGUAUGUUAGGGCACCUAUUUGCAAAUAACUCUGGUUUAACCAGUUUGCGUCACCAAAGAUCAGGUAAGGGCUCAAAAAGAGAAGGUGUUAGGCACUCUUCGAGGUACACAACUGUGGGUCCCGGCUAAACUCGAAUUAUAUGAAUUAGUCAGACAAACAAAGAAAAAGAAAGCAAGAAGUUCGGGAAGUUUUAUUAAACACAAAUAAUUGAUUUAAAGAAAAGAUUAGGCAGGGGAGGGGGGUCAUAAGAUUUUUAGCCUAAAGGAUCACCCCGUGCAACAUAAUAAUACUUUGUAACUCCCUCAAGAUGGGGUGUUACUCGUAUUAUUCAACAGGCACAGACUGUCAUCUCCUGCUACCCGAUUACUAUCUUUAAGUUGUUAUCUUAAGCGCACUAGUUGAUUCUAAACCAUGCCUUAUGCGUGCACUGCCCGUCCCAUGUCUAUGGCCCAGGAGGCAUUUGGACCUCUAUUUUGGGUGGUUCUAGACUUAACUUAGGCUGCUCAAAAAUGAUAAAACUAGGCGACAUACAAAACAAUUUGGACUUCAUGUAAAGGCAACUAAGGGCUCAAGUUAGCCUCCACAUAUAAACAACAAAUGCACGCUAACAGGUAUGUAAUGAGGCAGUUUCAGAAUUAAGAACCUUAAUCCCUAUAGACAUGAUUUCUAUGUGAUAAGGUAUCAAAACAUACAAGCAUUUUUUCGAAGGCCAUGCGAUGUUUAUCUCUAAAUGAUUAUACGAUUUGCAUGAUGAUUUGAAAUUUCAGAUUUCCAGUAUUUUAUCCUACAGAUGCUGCAUUUAAGUGAUUUACACAGUAGAGGGAGCAGUAAAACCUAUUGGAAAAGCCUAGAAUUACUCAUGUUUUCUGACAGUGACAUGAAUAAGCAGUAAACAUCGUUUGAGAAAUUCAACAUCAACAAUUUAGAGUGAGUAAUUAUACCCUAUAGGCAGGAUCUCUAAUGAUCAGUGCAUGGAACCAAUUUUAUUAUGCUUAACCCCCUAUAAACAUGUUUUCUAAGUGAUCAUUAUGAUACAAUAGCAAAUAGGAUAAUUAAAAUCCUAUAGGUAUGGUUUCUAGUGCAUAUGUAGCAGUAGGAGCAUUUAAACUCAUGUUUUGCUAGUAGACGAGUAGUGUGAGUGUCAUACCCCGAACCUGGGAGGCGUGGCUGGCACCCGGUGCCGCACUGGUCCGAGCGAACCACUUUGUAACUCAUGGUCAUUCGACCAAAACUUGAACAUACAUAGGUCGAGUUAGCUGAACUCAUUCCAUUCGCAACUAUCAUGGGCUCACAUGGCUACAACUCAUAAUGUAUAACUGUAAGUGGGCAACACUAUAUCAAUAAACUAUCAUUCUUAAAAAUAUGAACACAUAUGCGUGUCACACCUCCUUUUUCUAUCCCCGGAAGGGAGUAUAGGAGAAUUUUUUCAAUUUAAGUGAAAAUUGAAACGGGAUUAUUUAUAUUAAAAUCAGAGUCGCCACUUGGGAUAAUUUAUGGUGUCCCAAGUCACCGGUUUAAAUCCCGAGUCGAGGAAGUUUGACUCUGUUUUACAGUUCGCAAAACAUAGAAAUUCGGAUAAGAAAUUCUAUUAACCCGGGAGAACGUGUUGGGCAUUCCCAAAUUCCGUGGUUUUAGCACGGUCGCUCAACUGUUAAUAUUGGCCUGUUUAUCUUAUUUUAAAAUAUUUUUGAAACCUACGUGCAUUUUAUUCCUUUUAAAAUCGCUUUUAAAAAUCCAAUUGUCAUACAACUAAUUAUUUUGAUUACACAUUGCGAAUCAUGUCACGGGAGUCGUAUCCACGAUCCACAACAUGUUUGUUUUAUUAACAAGAUUAAAUUGUGGCCGGGUCACAUAAAUGUACCCUCAAAUUUUAGAAAUUAAGCAUCACAACUACGUCACGGGAAAAGUACCUGUGGCUAUGACAAUUUAUUUAAUUAACCCGCCUAAAGCAAACUACAAAAGUUCAAGGCAUUUUCUACACUAGUUAAGAUAUCGAUGUGAGGGUCGUAGACUAGGUGAUUGGAUGGCACACCUCUAUUUCAUUAAAGGAAAAACAUUCAACUAAGUGAACUACGGAUAUUCAUGUUUGAAACUAAUUUGAGAUUAAGUAUCACAAACACGUCAUGGGAAUCAUACCCGUAGUUGUGAUGAUUUAUUUACAUGCCUAAAGUAAUUAGCGGUUAUGGGAGAAAAGUAGAAAUAAAACAAACUAAAAUGAAUGGAUGAAAGUCAAUUCAUGUUAAUUCGGUUUCAAUCACAAAUCUCAUGGCUCGUAGAGAUGUAUACAUUAUUCAAACAAUCCAAACAUGAAAUGCCCAAAUAACUCUAGCGAAUAAUAACAGAAUUUAAACCAAGAAGAAUUGAGAAACAAUAGAUAAGUAUCAUGUUGUUCAUAUCACAUUGGAAGCUGACGCAGAAAUAAAAGUAAGAGUGAUAAGAAUUGAACCUGGGAUUGCUUCUUUUAAAUGAGUAAAAUAAAAAAUUAGAGAGGUAUGCUCAGACUGACUGUGUGGAAGACCCGGCAACGAAGUUUGAAUGUGCAAUAAAAAACAACAAGACAGCAACAAUCGAAAUCGGAACCGCAAAUUGAACCAACGACGGAAUCACUUCGAAUCGAAUUCCGAAUCAACAAACCUGAAAACCCGAAAUUGGACCGAAAAUAAUUUUUUCUUUUGGUUCUUGAUUCCUCCAUGUAAAUCAUAGAAAAGCAGAGCUUUGCAAAAGGUACACGUUUUAUUCAUUAUCCUUCCAGCCAAUGACACUUCAUCGACAAAAUGAGCUCCACUUUCUAAAACCUCAAAUUCCUUCACUUAAUCAAAUCUGUUCCUCCUAAAUCUAUCUUCCUCUAUUUUUUUUGCGUGUUUUUUUGUGUGUUAUUUGGUUUAGAGAGUGGCUGCCAUUCUCCUCUUUUGUGUGUUCAAGCUGCUGGAGGAAGUAAUGUGGUAGGUGUUGUAAUGGAGGAGUUGUUCUUUUGGUGAAGAAGAUGAUACAAUGGUUGUGUCCAUUUUCUAAAUUC
RNAcentral lists this long non-coding RNA (11532 nucleotides) under Nicotiana tabacum (common tobacco). RNAcentral describes it as "long non-coding RNA (NTAB_LNC002585)". Lineage: Eukaryota; Viridiplantae; Streptophyta; Magnoliopsida; Solanales; Solanaceae. The record is from RNAcentral.